UAAUACAUGCAAGUCGAGCGGACUUUAAAAGCUUGCUUUUAAAGUUAGCGGCGGACGGGUGAGUAACACGUGGGCAACCUGCCUGUAAGACUGGGAUAACUUCGGGAAACCGGAGCUAAUACCGGAUAAUCCUUUUCCUCUCAUGAGGAAAAGCUGAAAGACGGUUUACGCUGUCACUUACAGAUGGGCCCGCGGCGCAUUAGCUAGUUGGUGAGGUAACGGCUCACCAAGGCGACGAUGCGUAGCCGACCUGAGAGGGUGAUCGGCCACACUGGGACUGAGACACGGCCCAGACUCCUACGGGAGGCAGCAGUAGGGAAUCUUCCGCAAUGGACGAAAGUCUGACGGAGCAACGCCGCGUGAGUGAUGAAGGUUUUCGGAUCGUAAAACUCUGUUGUUAGGGAAGAACAAGUACAAGAGUAACUGCUUGUACCUUGACGGUACCUAACCAGAAAGCCACGGCUAACUACGUGCCAGCAGCCGCGGUAAUACGUAGGUGGCAAGCGUUGUCCGGAAUUAUUGGGCGUAAAGCGCGCGC
RNAcentral lists this ribosomal RNA (538 nucleotides) under uncultured bacterium. Its description in RNAcentral is "bacterial SSU rRNA". It matches the Rfam family "Bacterial small subunit ribosomal RNA", at positions 49 to 572 of the family's 1533-position model. The record is from RNAcentral.